UGGUUGGACGAGGUAAUAGCUGUCUUUAUUUAAUGUAUAUUAGAAUUUAACUUUUAAGUUAAAAGGCUUAAAUUUAAUUGAUAGACGAGAAGACCCUAUAGAUCUUUAUUUAUAAAGUUAUGAGUUGGAUUUGGAUUAAUUUAAAGUUUGUAACUCUAUGAAUUUUAUUGGGGUAAUAUAAAGAUUAAGAAAAUUCUUUGAAUAGAUUGAACAAUGAUGAUUGACAAAUUGAUCCAUUAGUAUUGAUUAGAAGAUUAAGUUAC
This 263-nucleotide ribosomal RNA is filed under the name Pseudotetracha whelani. RNAcentral describes it as "partial 16S ribosomal RNA". The record is from RNAcentral. Lineage: Eukaryota; Metazoa; Arthropoda; Insecta; Coleoptera; Carabidae.